AGUGGAUACAAACAAGUUCUUGAACAGGGAUGACUAAAGUGUCGGGGGGAGAAAUGUCACUGAACUAAAGAGGGAUCCAAGCAGAACCACCAGGAAUUGACAUCAUUCUGAGAGCAGAGUUCCCAUGGCAGCAGCAACAGAGCCAAUGAGAGCAGCUGAGUGAAGGAGUGGUGGCCACUGGUGGGUAAACAGAGACUCUGUGACAUGUCAGCAUUCUGGACAUUAUACUCAGGAGGAGGCAUUGCCCAUUCAAAAUGUACAAGCUGUGUCUUCAGUUGAUUCCUAAAGCAGCAUGAUAUACAUAACUAUUAAGCAUACACCAAAGCUUCACCCAGACCUGGCAGUUGCUCCCUGCUCUUGUAACUUUGAGGCAGUAGUUUCAGUGGGAGAAGAUCAGGGCUCUGAAACACACAUGACCUAGAGGCUAUAGAGAACUGAGAACAUGUUUGUGGGCAAAAUCAACACAUCUUAGCAAAGCUUGGUUUUGACGUUAAACCUUCAAGCCCACACAUUACUAAGUGGUUCCUUUUGGCCAUAUCCUUCCUAAGACACUGGGGAAGCUCCAGGACAGCCACGCACUUGCUUGAAGAAUGGAGUGAGGGAUGGAGCACGCUGGCCUCAUAGAAACCACACCACAUUAAGUUCCAGCAACUGCAGAAGGCUUCUUUGGAUCCAUCUGCUGGGGAUUCACAGCGAGCUACCAUACUCUCUCACACACAGCUUUCCAUGGCCAGCGAAGAGGAAGGAGCCCAGGCUAUGCAUCAGAGAAGCAAGGAAUCUAUAUCAUCAUCCCACCUCACCUCUGCCAAAGAUGUUUAAAAAAGAAGUGGAUUGCACAUAGCAUCUGCCCAGACCUGACUCCAGAUUCAGGGUCCUAAACUCAGACCCCAGCUUUCUACAGUCUGUCCAUCUACUUCUCUCCACU
Ictidomys tridecemlineatus (thirteen-lined ground squirrel) is the source of this 925-nucleotide non-coding RNA. The record is from RefSeq and is a predicted model, not a curated record. NCBI's taxonomy places the organism in Eukaryota, Metazoa, Chordata, Mammalia, Rodentia, Sciuridae.